UCGUGGAUCUAUCGUGGACGCGCUCUCACAAUUUGUGCUAUUUUUACUGCAAAAUGACGUACAAAACGAAGAUGAGGAAAACUAUGAAAGCUGAAAGCAUGCUAGCUGCCCGUAGAAGGUGCGAGCUGGCUAGAAUUCGUAGAUUACGCACUUUGACGAGUGAAGAUCGAGGCGGCCAGUAAGCCACAAGUGUUGCAGCCCGCUGCCCCCCCCCCCCCUCCUCACACAAUCCCACCCUCUGCCACCGCACAUUUUCCACCUUCUACUCCAGGUCUUGCACCUGCUACUCCAAAUCUAACUGGACUGGUACUUGAACAAAAAGGACAAGGAUAUGCAGAGACCAACGAGACGCACAACCAAACCAAGAAAGGCUCCUGAGGGAGCUGACCCCAGCUAUGGCGCAGGUGCCUACUAGUGCCACUCCAGUGCCACCUUGAGGACCCAUAUUUCUGACCAAUUAUAUUAGGCGAUCUGCAUGCACACCUUACUGAACCCAUGCCUAUCUACAAGGGUGCAAAUUUUGAAUGAUAUUGGUCAACAUCAACCUCAGCUAAAGGUGGCUGAACUUUAACCUCCAUUUGUGCAGGCUGCGAUGCUGAAACUUGGCCCAGUUGCAGCAUCUUUUACAUGUAUCAGGAUAAUGAAUUUUCAAUGCCCUGCAACAACUUUCAAUUUUCAUCUAGCCAACCCCUCAAAUUGAUUGUAACCUAUCCACCGCUGCCCAUUGGAUGAGGGAGAGGGGGUUAUAUGUAGGAUAAACAUAUCAA
Procambarus clarkii (red swamp crayfish) is the source of this 767-nucleotide long non-coding RNA. RefSeq lists it as uncharacterized. NCBI's taxonomy places the organism in Eukaryota, Metazoa, Arthropoda, Malacostraca, Decapoda, Cambaridae. The record is from RefSeq and is a predicted model, not a curated record.